CCUACGGGAGGCAGCAGUGAGGAAUAUUGGUCAAUGGACGAGAGUCUGAACCAGCCAAGUAGCGUGAAGGAUGACUGCCCUAUGGGUUGUAAACUUCUUUUAUAUGGGAAUAAAACGUUCCACGUGUGGGAUUUUGUAUGUACCAUAUGAAUAAGGAUCGGCUAACUCCGUGCCAGCAGCCGCGGUAAUACGGAGGAUCCGAGCGUUAUCCGGAUUUAUUGGGUUUAAAGGGAGCGUAGGUGGAUUGUUAAGUCAGUUGUGAAAGUUUGCGGCUCAACCGUAAAAUUGCAGUUGAAACUGGCAGUCUUGAGUACAGUAGAGGUGGGCGGAAUUCGUGGUGUAGCGGUGAAAUGCUUAGAUAUCACGAAGAACUCCGAUUGCGAAGGCAGUUCACUGGACUGCAACUGACACUGAGGCUCUAAAGUGUGGGUAUCAAACAGGAUUAGAUACCCGUGUAGUC
This 460-nucleotide ribosomal RNA is filed under the name uncultured bacterium. Its description in RNAcentral is "partial 16S ribosomal RNA". It matches the Rfam family "Bacterial small subunit ribosomal RNA", at positions 338 to 795 of the family's 1533-position model. The record is from RNAcentral.